UACAUGGGGUGCAAACGUUGCUCGGAAUUAUUGGGCGUAAAGCGCACGUAGGCGGUUUGUUAAGUCGGAUGUGAAAUCCCUCGGCUCAACUGAGGAAGUGCAUCCGAAACUGGCAAGCUUGAGGGCUUCAGAGGGACACGGAAUUCCGGGUGGAGUGGUGAAAUGCGCAGAUAUCAGGAGGAACACCAAUGGCGAAGGCAGCUCGCUGGGACGGUACUGACGCUGAGGCGCGAAAGCGUGGGGAGCAAACAGG
Molecule: ribosomal RNA, 253 nt
Filed under: uncultured bacterium
Lineage: Bacteria
Description: partial 16S ribosomal RNA
Rfam family: Bacterial small subunit ribosomal RNA
Source: RNAcentral